CACUAUCCUCUUGUGGGCAAACUCACGAACUUCCUGAAAAAUAUUACAAAACAGGGCCAUUUUUGUCUGUUCCAGAUAUGCGGAGCAACCAUGCUAAAUCUCUCACUCUUGACCUCAGACAUGUGGGCCGUUCUAAUCCGUAUCUUUGCUUAGCAUGAGAAGGUUGAUUGGAUGUACUUCGUUGCUUUUGCCGGCACAGCAGCUGGCCUCGUGAUAUACUCAUGCAAAUACUGUCCCUUUUACCUAUGUAAUAUGUGCUAAACCUCUGUUCUCUCUGGAUUACAAACUAAGAAGCUUGACACUUUUUAUCUGCAGCUGUGCCCCAUUUGCAUGUAUAAAUCGAAGGACCUCGCGUUUGGAUGUGGACAUCAGACUUGCGAUAUGGAACGCUGCCCUCUAUGCCGGCAGCACAUAACACAAAGAUCAGGCUCUACUGAUGCCAUGAAGCUUUUGGAAGAAACUCCUACGCAAAAUGUUCAGACCAGCUUUAAUUGUACUGAUCUUUGUCUUGUAAUUGGUGUCUUGGUCUUAAGUAGAUAGUGCUGCUGUCACUGUCCCAGUAAGGCACAACUGCAGUUUAACUAUAGAAGUUAGUGUUAAAAAAGCGCACCAAAAAAUAAUGUACAUAUUCCUCCCUUUCUUCUGUACAUCA
This is a long non-coding RNA of Phragmites australis (common reed), 652 nucleotides long. RefSeq lists it as uncharacterized. NCBI's taxonomy places the organism in Eukaryota, Viridiplantae, Streptophyta, Magnoliopsida, Poales, Poaceae. The transcript is spliced from 3 exons. The record is from RefSeq and is a predicted model, not a curated record.